RNAcentral lists this ribosomal RNA (264 nucleotides) under uncultured bacterium. RNAcentral describes it as "partial 16S ribosomal RNA". It matches the Rfam family "Bacterial small subunit ribosomal RNA", at positions 793 to 1055 of the family's 1533-position model. The record is from RNAcentral.
GUCCACGCCCUAAACGAUGUCAACUGGGUGUUGGGGGAGCGAUUCCUCAGUACCGUAGCUAACGCGUGAAGUUGACCGCCUGGGGAGUACGGCCGCAAGGUUAAAACUCAAAGGAAUUGACGGGGACCCGCACAAGCGGUGGAUGAUGUGGAUUAAUUCGAUGCAACGCGAACAACCUUACCUACCCUUGACAUGUCCGGAAGCCCGCCGAGAGGCGGGCGUGCCCGAAAGGGAAUCGGAACACAGGUGCUGCAUGGCUGUCGU